GGUGGCGGAAUUGGUAGACGCACUAGGUUCAGGUCCUAGCGGUGGCAACACCGUGGAAGUUCGAGUCUUCUCCUNNNA
Molecule: transfer RNA, 78 nt
Filed under: Pseudomonas aeruginosa
Lineage: Bacteria; Pseudomonadati; Pseudomonadota; Gammaproteobacteria; Pseudomonadales; Pseudomonadaceae
Description: tRNA-Leu
Rfam family: tRNA
About the family: Transfer RNA (tRNA) molecules are approximately 80 nucleotides in length. Their secondary structure includes four short double-helical elements and three loops (D, anti-codon, and T loops).
Source: RNAcentral